RNAcentral lists this ribosomal RNA (468 nucleotides) under uncultured bacterium. RNAcentral describes it as "partial 16S ribosomal RNA". It matches the Rfam family "Bacterial small subunit ribosomal RNA", at positions 28 to 507 of the family's 1533-position model. The record is from RNAcentral.
GACGAACGCUGGCGGCAUGCUUAACACAUGCAAGUCGAACGGAAAGGCCCUGCUUUGUUGGGCUGCUCGAGGUGCGAACGGGUGAGUAACCCGUAAGUAACCUGCCCUUGACUUUGGGGUAACUUCAGGAAGCUUGAUCUAAUACCGGAUAGGAGCUCCUGCUGCAGGGUGGGGGUUGGAAAGUUUCGGCGGUUGGUGGUGGACUCGCGGCUUAUCAGCUUGUUGGUGGGGUAGUGGCUUACCAAGGCUUUGACGGGUAGCCGGGCUGGGCGGGUGACCGGACCAACUGGGAUUGGGAUGAGGCCCAGACUCCACCGGGAGGGAGCAGUGGGGUAUGUUGUAUAAGGGGCGGAAGCCUAAUCUAGUACAGCCGCGCGGGGGAUGACGGGCAUCGGGUUGUAUAGCGCAGCCGCCUGUGCCGAAGCGUGAGUGACGGUAAUGGGUAAAGAAGCACCGGCUAACUACGUG